RNAcentral lists this ribosomal RNA (293 nucleotides) under uncultured bacterium. RNAcentral describes it as "partial 16S ribosomal RNA". It matches the Rfam family "Bacterial small subunit ribosomal RNA", at positions 775 to 1067 of the family's 1533-position model. The record is from RNAcentral.
GGAUUAGAUACCCUGGUAGUCCACGCCGUAAACGAUGAGAACUAGCCGUUGGGGACCUUGAGUCUUUAGUGGCGCAGCUAACGCGAUAAGUUCUCCGCCUGGGGAGUACGGCCGCAAGGUUAAAACUCAAAUGGAUUGACGGGGGCCCGCACAAGCGGUGGAGCAUGUGGUUUAAUUCGAUGCUACGCGAAAAACCUUACCUGGGCUUGACAUCCCGGGCUACCCUGGGAAACCAGGGGUUCUCUUCGGAGACCCGGUGACAGGUGCUGCAUGGCUGUCGUCAGCUCGUGUUG